UACGAAGGGGGCUAGCGUUGCUCGGAAUCACUGGGCGUAAAGCGCACGUAGGCGGCUUGUUAAGUCAGGGGUGAAAUCCUGGAGCUCAACUCCAGAACUGCCUUUGAUACUGGCGAGCUUGAGUCCGGGAGAGGUGAGUGGAACUGCGAGUGUAGAGGUGAAAUUCGUAGAUAUUAGGAAGAACACCGGUGGCGAAGGCGGCGACCUGGUCCGUGACUGACGCUGAGGCGCGAAAGCGUGGGGAGCAAACAGG
RNAcentral lists this ribosomal RNA (253 nucleotides) under uncultured bacterium. RNAcentral describes it as "partial 16S ribosomal RNA". It matches the Rfam family "Bacterial small subunit ribosomal RNA", at positions 524 to 776 of the family's 1533-position model. The record is from RNAcentral.